RNAcentral lists this transfer RNA (69 nucleotides) under Trigonopterus sp. 5 AH-2016. RNAcentral describes it as "tRNA-Met". The record is from RNAcentral. Lineage: Eukaryota; Metazoa; Arthropoda; Insecta; Coleoptera; Curculionidae.
AAAAAGAUAAGCUAAUUAAGCUAAUGGGUUCAUACCCCAUUUACAAAGGCCCCAACCCUUUUCUUUUUA